ACCCAAAACUAAGUCCUCUCU
This 21-nucleotide microRNA is filed under the name Xenopus tropicalis (tropical clawed frog). RNAcentral describes it as "Xtr-Mir-430-o5m_5p* (star (passenger))". The record is from RNAcentral. Lineage: Eukaryota; Metazoa; Chordata; Amphibia; Anura; Pipidae.